AGCGAACGCUGGCGGCAGGCCUAACACAUGCAAGUCGAACGGACCCUUCGGGGUUAGUGGCGGACGGGUGAGUAACACGUGGGGACGUGCCUUUAGGUUCGGAAUAGCUCCUGGAAACGGGUGGUAAUGCCGAAUGUGCCCUUUGGGGGAAAGAUUUAUCGCCUUUAGAGCGGACCGCGUCUGAUUAGCUAGUUGGUGAGGUAAUGGCUCACCAAGGCGACGAUCAGUAGCUGGUCUGAGAGGAUGACCAGCCACACUGGGACUGAGACACGGCCCAGACUCCUACGGGAGGCAGCAGUGGGGAAUCUUGCGCAAUGGGCGAAAGCCUGACGCAGCCAUGCCGCGUGAAUGAUGAAGGUCUUAGGAUUGUAAAAUUCUUUCACCGGGGACGAUAAUGACGGUACCCGGAGAAGAAGCCCCGGCUAACUUCGUGCCAGCCGCCGCAGUAA
Molecule: ribosomal RNA, 449 nt
Filed under: uncultured bacterium
Lineage: Bacteria
Description: partial 16S ribosomal RNA
Rfam family: Bacterial small subunit ribosomal RNA
Source: RNAcentral